RNAcentral lists this ribosomal RNA (483 nucleotides) under uncultured bacterium. RNAcentral describes it as "partial 16S ribosomal RNA". It matches the Rfam family "Bacterial small subunit ribosomal RNA", at positions 30 to 507 of the family's 1533-position model. The record is from RNAcentral.
AUUGAACGCUGGCGGCAGGCCUAACACAUGCAAGUCGAGCGGAUGAAGGGAGCUUGCUCCUGGAUUCAGCGGCGGACGGGUGAGUAAUGCCUAGGAAUCUGCCUGGUAGUGGGGGAUAACGUCCGGAAACGGGCGCUAUACCGCAUACGUCCUGAGGGAGAAAGUGGGGGAUCUUCGGACCUCACGCUAUCAGAUGAGCCUAGGUCGGAUUAGCUAGUUGGUGGGGUAAAGGCCUACCAAGGCGACGAUCCGUAACUGGUCUGAGAGGAUGAUCAGUCACACUGGAACUGAGACACGGUCCAGACUCCUACGGGAGGCAGCAGUGGGGAAUAUUGGACAAUGGGCGAAAGCCUGAUCCAGCCAUGCCGCGUGUGUGAAGAAGGUCUUCGGAUUGUAAAGCACUUUAAGUUGGGAGGAAGGGCAGUAAGUUAAUACCUUGCUGUUUUGACGUUACCAACAGAAUAAGCACCGGCUAACUUCGUG